This 490-nucleotide ribosomal RNA is filed under the name Burkholderia sp. Z4_23_3. RNAcentral's name for it is "bacterial SSU rRNA". It matches the Rfam family "Bacterial small subunit ribosomal RNA", at positions 108 to 594 of the family's 1533-position model. The record is from RNAcentral. Lineage: Bacteria; Pseudomonadati; Pseudomonadota; Betaproteobacteria; Burkholderiales; Burkholderiaceae.
GAGUAAUACAUCGGAACGUGUCCUGUAGUGGGGGAUAGCCCGGCGAAAGCCGGAUUAAUACCGCAUACGCUCUACGGAGGAAAGGGGGGGAUCUUAGGACCUCCCGCUACAGGGGCGGCCGAUGGCAGAUUAGCUAGUUGGUGGGGUAAAGGCCUACCAAGGCGACGAUCUGUAGCUGGUCUGAGAGGACGACCAGCCACACUGGGACUGAGACACGGCCCAGACUCCUACGGGAGGCAGCAGUGGGGAAUUUUGGACAAUGGGGGCAACCCUGAUCCAGCAAUGCCGCGUGUGUGAAGAAGGCCUUCGGGUUGUAAAGCACUUUUGUCCGGAAAGAAAACGCCGUGGUUAAUACCCGUGGCGGAUGACGGUACCGGAAGAAUAAGCACCGGCUAACUACGUGCCAGCAGCCGCGGUAAUACGUAGGGUGCAAGCGUUAAUCGGAAUUACUGGGCGUAAAGCGUGCGCAGGCGGUCCGCUAAGACAGAUG